UACGUAGGGUGCGAGCUUUAAUCGGAAUUACUGGGCGUAAAGCGUGCGCAGGCGGUUCGUUAAGUUCGUUGUGAAAGCCCCGGGCUCAACCUGGGAACUGCAAUGGAAACUGGCGGGCUUGAAUGCGGCAGAGGGGGGUGGAAUUCCGCGUGUAGCAGUGAAAUGCGUAGAGAUGCGGAGGAACACCGAUGGCGAAGGCAGCCCCCUGGGUCAAGAUUGACGCUCAUGCACGAAAGCGUGGGGAGCAAACAGG
Molecule: ribosomal RNA, 253 nt
Filed under: uncultured bacterium
Lineage: Bacteria
Description: partial 16S ribosomal RNA
Rfam family: Bacterial small subunit ribosomal RNA
Source: RNAcentral